GUGAAUAAAGGAGUGUUAAGGGUGAAUAAAGGGGUGAUAAGGUGAAUAAAAGAGGUGCUAAGGAUGAAUAAAAGGCUGUUAAGGUCAAUAAAGGGGUGUUAAGGUGAAAAAAAGGGGUAUUAAGGGUGAAUAAAGGGUGAAUAAAGGGGUUUUAAGAUCAAUAAAGGGGUGUUAAGGGUGAAUAAAAGGGUGCUAAGGUGAAUAGAGGGGUUUUAAGAUCAAUAAAGGGGUGUUAAGGGGAAUAAAAGGGUGUUAACGGCAAUAAAGGGGUGUUAAGGGUGAAUAAAGGGAUUUUAAGAUCAAUAAAGGGGCGUUAAGGUGAAUAAAAGGGGUUUCAAGGAGAAUAAAAGGGUAUUAAAGUGAAUAAAGGGGUGUUAAGGGUGAUAAAAGGGUGUUAAGGUGAAUAAAGGGGCGUUAAGGUCGAUAAAGGGGCAUUAAGUUCAUUUAAAGGGUGAUAAGGUCAAUAAAGGGGUGUUAAGGUGAUUGGGGGGGGGUCUUAUAAUUAUAUGUCCCCCCCCCCUCACAGGGGUGUGCGCCCUCAACAACUGCAUUUACGCCAUGGGGGGGUACGACGGGACGGACCAGCUGAACAGCACGGAGCGCUACGAGGUGGAGAGCGACACCUGGACCUUCGUGGCCCCCAUGAGGUGCCGCCGCAGCGCCCUGGGGGUCACCGUCUACCAGGGCAAGAUCUACGUCCUGGGGGGCUACGACGGCCACACGUUCCUGGACUCGGUGGAGUGUUACGACCCGGUGACCGACGCCUGGACGGAGGUGACCAGGAUGACGUCGGGGCGCAGCGGGGUGGGGGUGGCCAUCACCAUGGAGCCCUGUCGCAAAAACCCCCCCCAGGAACGAGCCGAGAGACCCCACUGUCCCUGCUAACCCCGGCGCCGCCGUGGGGGGGGGGGUUUAUUUUCCCCCCACGGCGGCCAAAAAAAUGGGGUGUAAUUGGGGGGGAUUUGGGGUGACACCAUCAACCCCCCCCCACCCCAACAAAUCACCGGACUGGACUCUUGGCCAC
RNAcentral lists this long non-coding RNA (1024 nucleotides) under Calidris pugnax (ruff). Its description in RNAcentral is "lncRNA (ENSCPUG00000004167.1)". Lineage: Eukaryota; Metazoa; Chordata; Aves; Charadriiformes; Scolopacidae. The record is from RNAcentral.